AAUCAACAAAACGCCCAUUUGACUGUGUACAUAUUUCUCGAUUUUUGUUUCUAACAUUUAAAUUUCUAAUAUCUUCGCACCUAUUAAAAGAUUUAAGACAGGAUGAAUAUUUAGCCCUGGUUGCAAGACUGAUUCUGCAUGUAAAAGAUUAUAGUUCAUCAAAAGAUACAUUGCAAGAAAAGGGAUGCAAAAGAAUGAAAAGAAUCUUCAGAGUCAUCAAAAUCUGCAAGCACAUCUCCAAAGCGGAAGAAUGCAGACCUUGAAAAAGGAAGUGCACCAGACAAAGCUAGGAAAACAAGCAGAAAUAAUAACAACAACAUAUGUGGAACAUAUGAAGAACGAAUGUUGGCUGUGGAAAAACAAAAACUGGACAUAAUGCGCCAGAAGUUACAAGUUAAGACAGACAUUAGAGAUGAGCUGCAUAACAUAAAUAGUUUUUUUUUGCUCUUUAAGCAGUGUCACUUUGCCCACUUACAACCCAAUACCAUAGUUUAUAUUCUUUACAUAUAAUAGCUAAGUUAUUGUUUUUGUGUGAUUAGUCAUAUGCAUCAUAUGAUAUUCAAAAAUGAAUGUGAACAACUUUAAUUUAAUUAUCAAUUUCAUCCAUUAAUGAAGAAUGAUAAAUGUAACUUCAACGAAUUUCCAAUUUUAAACAUAACUUUUGUUGUCUAAUUUAUGAGCAAGUUCAUUUUUAUGAGCACCUUGACAUAUUUCAAAGACAUUGUUCAAAUAUUCAAAACAUAAAAUAACAUUAUAUAUGAAACAGUGUAAUAAAUCUAUAGGAUAUGAUGUUUUAUGGUUUGGUAUUAAAUUGUUAUUGUAAAUACACGACUCACUGAGCUGUUUCAUCAAGUUCAUAAAGUUUUAGAAUAAAUAAACGACACUUUGCCGCGUUUGCACGCCAUUUCCGUUAACAGGCCCAUCAAACACAUGGUCGUCAUGGUCGUCCUCGUCCAAGAUAAAUGGGUGUGCACAAUUCAUUUCCUUGCAUAAGAUUGUGUAAUCUCAUACAUACACUUACAAUUUGUGCAGCUUUUGAGUGCUUAACUAACAGGCAUCCUCCACUUGUGUGUAAACAUCUUUAAAGGCAAUAUUGCUUGUUUUAAUUAAAUUAAAAUUUAAAUUCACCAUGACAUAUUGUCGUACUGAUUUUUGUUUAAAGUGUUUAUUAUGAAUUAUGAUAAUGGUUUACAAAAUGUAAAUAUCUUUAAAAUAAAUCAAAUAGUGUUUUUUUUUCAAAUUUGUAAAAUAUAGUACCCUAACAUGUUAACUGUUAUAAUUUUAUAACUGUCUAACAAUGGUUUGAAUUUCCUGUAACAUUUAUUUUAGUGUGCAUAUACUUGCCUUAACCUGGAUUUCAAUAUUCCAAAGGCCCUAUCCGACACUAGUCUGGUCUUAAGACGGGCAUUGUUGAAAAGAAUCUCCAAGAGUAUGCCAAUUGGUGUUAGUAAAUAUGGUUUUAAACCAUAAUCACUGUCGCCCAACAGCCAGUUGUGGUCAGUAGUUGCCAGCCACUGCUUCAAGGCACAGUUUUCCAUGACUGUGCUGUCAUGAACUGAACCUGGCAAUUGGGCGACAACAUCAGUGCAUCUGUAACAUAUAUUUCAUU
Long non-coding RNA from Dreissena polymorpha, 1609 nucleotides. RefSeq lists it as uncharacterized. The record is from RefSeq and is a predicted model, not a curated record. The transcript has 6 exons. NCBI's taxonomy places the organism in Eukaryota, Metazoa, Mollusca, Bivalvia, Myida, Dreissenidae.